CCCUUAGAUGUUCGGGGCCGCACGCGCGCUACACUGAUGGGGUCAGCGUGUUUGCACGUCCUGGUCCGGCAGGAUUGGGCAAUCCGUUGAACCUCCGUCGUGAUUGGGAUCGGAGCUUGUAAUUAUUCUCCGUGAACGAGGAAUUCCCAGUAAGCGCAAGUCAUCAGCUCGCGUUGAUUACGUCCCUGCCCUUUGUACACACCGUCUGUCGCUACUACCGAUUGAAUGGCUUAGUGAGAUUUCCGGAUCGGCGUUGGGGAGCCGGCAACGGCACCCCUUGGCUGAGAAGUUACUCAAACUUGGUCAUUUAGAGGAAGUAAAAGUCAUAACA
This 331-nucleotide ribosomal RNA is filed under the name uncultured eukaryote. Its description in RNAcentral is "partial 18S ribosomal RNA". It matches the Rfam family "Eukaryotic small subunit ribosomal RNA", at positions 1470 to 1796 of the family's 1831-position model. The record is from RNAcentral.